This 2952-nucleotide unclassified non-coding RNA is filed under the name Hevea brasiliensis (rubber tree). Lineage: Eukaryota; Viridiplantae; Streptophyta; Magnoliopsida; Malpighiales; Euphorbiaceae. The record is from RNAcentral.
CGAUUUUUUUUUUUUUGGAUUUGAUUUUGUUUAAAUUGAUUGAUUUCACGUGAAGACACAAACCCUACGUGGAAAAUCUCGAACUGGGUAUCUUUGUUUUUGCUUUGUUUCUUAAUUUGGUUUUAUUUGAGGGUGACUUGGACAUGGGUUUUCCUUUUUCAUAUUAAUGUGUUGCGAGUGGUUGAUUGGAUUGCUCGGUUGAUUUGAGUCAAUUUGGGCAAAAGGUUAAAAUCUAGAAUAAGAUAACUUUGAACAGCGAGUAGUUGGAUUAAAUAAGGAAAUGGGGUUUGUUUUUUUCAUUGUUUUUUUUUUGUCUUAUUUUGUGGUUGCUUUACCGGACACUAGAAAUGUUAAACGUGCUUUUUGGCACGAUACAUGAUUGGAUUUUGUGGAAGAAAUGGUUGCUCAGUUGAAGUUUUCAAAUGGGUUUUGUUUUGAUUUGGUAUUAUUGUCUUAUAUUUUGAUUCUUUUGUUGGUUGGAACAGAUCGAAAGGGUCUUUCUGGGUAUAGUUCAGGUUUAUAUUUGAUUGAAAGUAACUUCUUUGGAAAUUGACUUUUCUAUUGAAAUAUUCUUUAUGAGAAAGGUGAUUUUCUGCAAAAUUCCUAUUGAUUUCGUUCAUUAUUAAUUGCUUGUGGAUAGUGAUUCAAUCAAUCAUACCAGUGAUUGUAGAGGAAUUAACAAAAUAGCUUGUGUUUUCUCCAAUUUUUGUUUGAUUUCAGCUUUCAACUCUAUCUAAUAUUCUCAGCAGGAUUAUUUUCCAUACACACUUUUCAAUUAUUUAGUUUCUGCAUGAAUUAUUUUAUAUAUCUUCCCUUCUUGGUUUUUUCUUUGUCAACAGCAUAUUACUUGCUGAUUAUUUUUUGCAGUUGAUUUUUGGAUCUAUACAUGUUUGGAAAUAUGUUGUCAUUUUAAGGAAACUGCAAGCAAUAAAACUAUUUCUCCAUCUUCCUAGUGCCACUUCUUAAGUUUUUAUAUUCUUUGUGCUGUUAGUCCUUUAUUUUUCCUUUUGUUUGAAGUGAUUAAUGUUCUUCUCUAGCAGUUUGUUAGUCCUGUUUAGAAAUCAAAUUUGUGUUCAGUAUGUUGUGCUUUAGAAAAUAGAGUUCACAUUUAGCAUGUUGUGCUUAACUGCCUAUUCUGUGUAAUUUUUUCAAACAGUUAAAGAAGUCCCCAUUUUAUUAUUCAGAAGCGAAUGAAGCAUCAAAUAUUUUGAAAACAUACAACAUUGUCAGAUUCAGUCAUCCUACUAGAAGUACUGCUCAAUUUGGAAUAGAAAUGGCUCCUGGGGGCAGCGCUUGCAAAGAGGUACUUGAAUCUCACCCUACAGUUGCAGACUAUGACAUUGGAACAACAAAAGUAGAGAAUAACAGUACAACAACUAAAGGUACUCUCGGUUUUGGGGGAAAGCAUGGAGUUUAUUCAAACAAUGGUGUGCAUGAGCUGCUGGAGUGCCCUGUCUGCUCAAAUUUGAUGUACCCUCCAAUUCAUCAGGUCUUUUCAUGAUUUCAUCUAUUUUACCCCUCUUAUUGGCCCCUUACUUAAGCCACCUCUCUCCAUUUUUUGAGGCAGCAUUUCACAUAGUUUGGGAUGAGUUGAUUCUCCCCCACUUACAAAGACAACAACUAAGCCUUAAUCCAAACUAGUUGAAGUCGGCUAUAUGAAUCAUUUUUCUCCAUUCUUCCUCAUUUAGAAUUGAAAAUUUUCUUAUUCUAUGUAAUGCUUACAACAGGAUUUAGAACCUCUUCUUUUUCUCCUUUUCCCAAAAGUUAUCAUAAGGAAAUUCUUUGCUUACGAUUCCUCAAAUAAUUUAGAGAGGUCAUUUCUAGUUUAACUUCCUGAUAGGGGAGCUCACAGUUCGGUUCGGGAAUUCUUCAAACCAUAAGCUCAUUUUUUUAAACCAAGCCAGCCAGUUAAGUUUGGGAAUCCUCCAGAGUCCAAACUGAAACCUAAUCUUCUGUUGGUUAACCCUUUUUUUUAACUAAGAUUUUGAGCUUUAUUUUUUAGGCCAUAUAAUGAUACAUGUUACACUUUUUUUUUUUAGCCAAAAUCCAUACCACAUUCUAUCCAAAAUUUCACACGCACAAUUUAACAAAAAUCCACCUAGGUAUUCUUUAAAAAAAAUAACAUAAAGCCCUUAAUGCUAACCAUUAACAUAUAAAUGUAUAUCCAUAUAGAGGCAUAGUGUCUAGAUUAUGAUAGAUGCCUUGGAAUAACGUUGUGGUGGAGAGUUGCUUUCAGACUCAGAGAGUGUUGGUUGACCCAUAUGAAGGGGAUUUGGAAAAUACAUAAGAAAGCACCAUAAUUUGUAAAGGAGAUAAGUCUUCACAUUCUUUAAUAAUGGUUGUAGAGUAAUGAAUGAGGCUUCACUGAUUAGUCUGUUUCACUGCAUUGUUCAAGUCAUUUAGGAAUCAGGAAGUAAUACGUCAUGAUUUGUUUACAAUAAAAAUUGUAACUUCUUAUUUUGGUUAAUCAAAUUUGAUGAUCAUUUUAGCAUUCCAAUCUAGAAAAUAAUUAUCAGUUUAGCAUUCCAAUCAAGAAAUUAAUUUUCUUUUUAUUUAUUUUUCUCUCUUUUUAAAAUUGCUGAAUGUAGUGAUCAAAUAGCUUAACUACACCUUUUGUGUUGGACUUUGUAUAUAUAGUGCCCAAAUGGACACACUUUAUGCAUGAACUGCAAGAUUAGAGUGCAUAACUGUUGUCCUACGUGUCGCUAUGAUCUUGGAAAUAUAAGAUGUUUAGCGCUGGAGAAAGUUGCAGAAUCACUAGAACUACCCUGCAAGUACCAGGAUUUGGGAUGUCAUGAUAUUUUCCCAUACUACAGCAAGCUCAAACAUGAGCAACACUGUCAAUUUCGUCCAUAUAAUUGCCCUUAUGCUGGGUCUGAGUGCUCUGUCACAGGUGACAUCCCAACCCUUGUUGCACAUCUCAAGGACGAUCACAAGGUUGACAUGCAUGAU